RNAcentral lists this ribosomal RNA (492 nucleotides) under uncultured bacterium. Its description in RNAcentral is "partial 16S ribosomal RNA". It matches the Rfam family "Bacterial small subunit ribosomal RNA", at positions 29 to 507 of the family's 1533-position model. The record is from RNAcentral.
AGUGAGCGCUGGCGGUAGGCCUAACACAUGCCAGUCGAACGGCAGCACAGUAAGAGCUUGCUCUUACGGGUGGCGAGUGGCGGACGGGUGAGGAAUACAUCGGAAUCUACUUUUUCGUGGGGGAUAACGUAGGGAAACUUACGCUAAUACCGCAUACGACCUACGGGUGAAAGCAGGGGAUCUUCGGACCUUGCGCGAUUGAAUGAGCCGAUGUCGGAUUAGCUAGUUGGCGGGGUAAAGGCCCACCAAGGCGACGAUCCGUAGCUGGUCUGAGAGGAUGAUCAGCCACACUGGAACUGAGACACGGUCCAGACUCCUACGGGAGGCAGCAGUGGGGAAUAUUGGGCAAUGGGCGCAAGCCUGAUCCAGCCAUACCGCGUGGGUGAAGAAGGCCUUCGGGUUGUAAAGCCCUUUUGUUGGGAAAGAAAAGCAGCAGGUUAAUACCCCGCUGUUCUGACGGUACCCAAAGAAUAAGCACCGGCUAACUUCGUG